GUCCCUGUAGCGCAAUGACUAGCGCGUUGGACUUCUAAUCCAAUGUUGUGGGUUCGAACCCUAACUGGGAUG
Molecule: non-coding RNA, 72 nt
Organism: Trichonephila clavata
Lineage: Eukaryota; Metazoa; Arthropoda; Arachnida; Araneae; Nephilidae
Source: the annotation of a GenBank genome assembly